GCAAGUCGAGCGAGACGGCCAUGAAUGAUCCUUCGGGUGAAUGAUUGGCUAGACAGCGGCGGACGGGUGAGUAACGCGUGGAUAACCUGCCUUAUACUGGGGGAUAACGUUUUGAAAAGAACGCUAAUACCGCAUAAGCGCACAGGACCGCAUGGUCUGGUGUGAAAAACUCCGGUGGUAUAAGAUGGAUCCGCGUCAGAUUAGCUAGUUGGUGAGAUAAAAGCUCACCAAGGCGACGAUCUGUAGCCGACCUGAGAGGGUGAUC
RNAcentral lists this ribosomal RNA (265 nucleotides) under uncultured bacterium. Its description in RNAcentral is "partial 16S ribosomal RNA". It matches the Rfam family "Bacterial small subunit ribosomal RNA", at positions 57 to 305 of the family's 1533-position model. The record is from RNAcentral.